CCGGAGCUAAUCCCGGAAAAGCAUUCUCAGUUCAGAUUGGAGGCUGAAACCCGCCUCCAUGAAGUCGGAGUUGCUAGUAACCGCAGGUCAGCAUACUGCGGUGAAUACGUUCUCGGGCCUUGUACACACCGCCCGUCACGUCAUGAAAGCUGGCAACACCUGAAGUCGAUAGGCUAACUCGCAAGAGAGGCCAUCGCCCAAGGUGGGGCUGGCGAUUGGGACGAAGUCGUAACAAGGUAGCUGUAGCGGAAGCUGCGGCUGGAUCACCUCCUUU
This 274-nucleotide ribosomal RNA is filed under the name Dehalococcoidia bacterium. Its description in RNAcentral is "partial 16S ribosomal RNA". It matches the Rfam family "Bacterial small subunit ribosomal RNA", at positions 1262 to 1533 of the family's 1533-position model. The record is from RNAcentral. Lineage: Bacteria; Bacillati; Chloroflexota; Dehalococcoidia.